GCGAGUGAAGCGGGAUGAGCUCAAAUUUAAAAUCUGGCGGCCUCAGGUCGUCCGAGUUGUAGUCUAGAGAAUCGUUUUCCGCGUUGGCCUGUGUACAAGUCCCUUGGAACAGGGCGUCAUAGAGGGUGAGAAUCCCGUCCUUGACACAGAUUACCAAUGCUUUGUGAUGCGAUCUCGAAGAGUCGAGUUGUUUGGGAAUGCAGCUCAAAAUGGGUGGUAAAUUCCAUCUAAAGCUAAAUAUUGGCGAGAGACCGAUAGCGAACAAGUACCGUGAGGGAAAGAUGAAAAGCACUUUGGAAAGAGAGUUAAACAGUACGUGAAAUUGUUAAAAGGGAAACGAUUGAAGUCAGUCAUGCUUUCCGAGACUCAGCCGAUUCUGUCGGUGUACUUCUCGGUUGGCAGGCCAGCAUCAGUUUCGAUCUGUGGAAAAGGUUGGAGGGAACGUGGCAUCCUCGGAUGUGUUAUAGCCCUUCUUCGAAUACAUAGAGCGGGACUGAGGAACGCAGCGCGCCUUUUAUUAGGUUGGCCCUCGGGUACAUACGCGCUUAGGAUGCUGGCAUAAUGGCUUUAAACGACCCGUCUUGAAACACGGACC
Molecule: ribosomal RNA, 595 nt
Filed under: Mrakia gelida
Lineage: Eukaryota; Fungi; Basidiomycota; Tremellomycetes; Cystofilobasidiales; Mrakiaceae
Description: eukaryotic LSU rRNA
Rfam family: Eukaryotic large subunit ribosomal RNA
Source: RNAcentral